CCUUACCGCAGCGAUCAAAACGCUCGCUCCAACAGGUACCGACACCGUAUAUUUAAGGGUGCUCCGCGAAGCCUUCCUCGCAUCCCUGUUUUCCUCUGUUUUCCCGUACUCUACACUAUCUCAGUCUCAGAUCUCGCUUUCUCUCCCUCUCAAAGGGAAGCAGUCUUACGGGUCAAAUAAUAUCCUUCAAUGGUGUCUUGACACGUAGGCCACCCAUGAGACUUUCCCAAAUUGGAAAGGAAACGCCACACGCACACGCGAAAGAUAGCAUAUUCAAAAUAAAUUAGACGUUGGUGCUCAUGGGAAUCGUUGGCGAGGCUGCAAACAAGGAGACUAACAGAAGCGUAUCUGAGAAGAAGCCUACAGUUGUUUUUGUUCUAGGUGGCCCAGGUAGUGGAAAAGGUACCCAAUGUGCGAAUAUUGUUCAACACUUCGGUUAUACCCAUCUCAGUGCUGGUGAUCUUCUCCGAGCAGAAAGCAACUCUGGUUCUGAAAAUGGCACUAUGAUUCAGAACAUGAUGAAAGAAGGAAAGAUCGUUCCCUCGGAGGUAACUAUUAAGCUUCUCCAACGUGCAAUGACAGAAAGUGGUAAUGACAGAUUUCUUAUUGACGGUUUUCCUCGUAAUGAGGAAAAUCGAGCAGCAUUUGAGGAUAUUACAAAAAUUGAGCCAGCUUUUGUCCUAUUUUUCGAUUGUUCUGAGGAAGAGAUGGAGAGGCGUAUUUUGAAUAGAAACCAGGGAAGGGAAGAUGAUAACAUUGAAACAAUUAGGAAGCGCUUUAAGGUUUUCUCGGAGUCUAGUCUCCCUGUGAUUGACCAUUACAAGUCAAGGGGAAAAGUUCGACAGAUUGAUGCUGGAAGGCCAGUUGAAGAGGUUUUUGAGUCUGUUAAAGCUGUAUUUACCUCAAAAAAUGAGAAGCUGUUCGAUUGGGUUUGAGGUUGGAACACCAAUGCAUUAUAAGAAUUUGGGGUUAGCACCAGUCUUGCAAUAAAGUUGCAAUUUUCAAUCAUUUGUCACUCAUGAAGUUGUGAACUAUGCAACUGGAUAGUGUAAUGCUCAACAAGCUGACUGAGCACUACAUAUCCACCUGAUAUUCAAGUAUCGUAUCUAUUGAGGUUCUGUAUUUUGGCUGCGUAUCCUUGUACCCUGCGAAGGAUGAUAUAUCUCUCCCAUUUUUUUUUCCCUAAUAUAGAAGGUUGUAUUUUAUGCCUUUGAGUGUAUACCUCCAUUUUUCUUCUCUUUUGAUUGUAUUUCUCUGUAAUGACAUCAAAUAAUAAUUGUAAUAGCAAUAAGGAUCCUUUUUUCUGUCUCUAA
This is an RNA transcript of Juglans microcarpa x Juglans regia, 1313 nucleotides long. It is a transcript of the gene named UMP-CMP kinase 3-like, with no coding region annotated. NCBI's taxonomy places the organism in Eukaryota, Viridiplantae, Streptophyta, Magnoliopsida, Fagales, Juglandaceae. The transcript has 12 exons. The record is from RefSeq and is a predicted model, not a curated record.